ACGAAACCUUUGAACAAGAGAAGUACGAAAAAUUGGGUGUAACCAGAGAGCUGCCGGUGGUGGGAGUGCAGCAGCACAGAUUUUUCCGAAUGGGCUUGUGAGGGCAGCUUGAAACUGUGAUGCAGGAGUAGACGCUGACGGGAACCCCGACCGUUAUCAGAGGGGUGCAUAUGAUGGUAUGCAAAAUGAGUGGGCGAUUUAUUAUCGUCAAUCAGGGUGGCAGCGCAGAAGUUUAAAAGCUUUUGUCCCUUUA
This 253-nucleotide non-coding RNA is filed under the name Desulfosporosinus youngiae. Its description in RNAcentral is "T-box sequence". It matches the Rfam family "T-box leader". Rfam says of the family: Uncharged tRNA acts as the effector for transcription antitermination of genes in the T-box leader family. T-boxes are found upstream of many aminoacyl-tRNA synthetase genes and some amino acid biosynthetic genes usually in Gram-positive bacteria. Lineage: Bacteria; Bacillati; Bacillota; Clostridia; Eubacteriales; Desulfitobacteriaceae. The record is from RNAcentral.